This is a long non-coding RNA of Nerophis ophidion (straightnose pipefish), 274 nucleotides long. RefSeq lists it as uncharacterized. NCBI's taxonomy places the organism in Eukaryota, Metazoa, Chordata, Actinopteri, Syngnathiformes, Syngnathidae. The record is from RefSeq and is a predicted model, not a curated record. The transcript has 5 exons.
CAGUAGCAGUUUCGAAGUCUGGAGUAAAAAAGUGCACAAAGAAGCUGCUGAUGGAGUGUUUGACGGAGAAGCAGAUGCAAGGAGGUACUGUGGAAGGACAGCCGCGCUGACGGAGUGUUGGUCAGAGAAGCAGCUGGAAGAAGGUACUGUGGAAGGGACAGCUGCGCUGACGGAGUGUUUGACGGACGGGCAGCUGCGAGGAGGUACCGUGGAAGGGCAGCUGCGCUGACGGAGUGUUGGUCAGAGAAGCAGCUGCAAGGAUGUACUGUGGAAG